This 1554-nucleotide ribosomal RNA is filed under the name Salmonella sp. SSDFZ69. Its description in RNAcentral is "bacterial SSU rRNA". It matches the Rfam family "Bacterial small subunit ribosomal RNA". The record is from RNAcentral. Lineage: Bacteria; Pseudomonadati; Pseudomonadota; Gammaproteobacteria; Enterobacterales; Enterobacteriaceae.
AAAUUGAAGAGUUUGAUCAUGGCUCAGAUUGAACGCUGGCGGCAGGCCUAACACAUGCAAGUCGAACGGUAACAGGAAGCAGCUUGCUGCUUUGCUGACGAGUGGCGGACGGGUGAGUAAUGUCUGGGAAACUGCCUGAUGGAGGGGGAUAACUACUGGAAACGGUGGCUAAUACCGCAUAACGUCGCAAGACCAAAGAGGGGGACCUUCGGGCCUCUUGCCAUCAGAUGUGCCCAGAUGGGAUUAGCUAGUUGGUGAGGUAACGGCUCACCAAGGCGACGAUCCCUAGCUGGUCUGAGAGGAUGACCAGCCACACUGGAACUGAGACACGGUCCAGACUCCUACGGGAGGCAGCAGUGGGGAAUAUUGCACAAUGGGCGCAAGCCUGAUGCAGCCAUGCCGCGUGUAUGAAGAAGGCCUUCGGGUUGUAAAGUACUUUCAGCGGGGAGGAAGGUGUUGUGGUUAAUAACCGCAGCAAUUGACGUUACCCGCAGAAGAAGCACCGGCUAACUCCGUGCCAGCAGCCGCGGUAAUACGGAGGGUGCAAGCGUUAAUCGGAAUUACUGGGCGUAAAGCGCACGCAGGCGGUCUGUCAAGUCGGAUGUGAAAUCCCCGGGCUCAACCUGGGAACUGCAUUCGAAACUGGCAGGCUUGAGUCUUGUAGAGGGGGGUAGAAUUCCAGGUGUAGCGGUGAAAUGCGUAGAGAUCUGGAGGAAUACCGGUGGCGAAGGCGGCCCCCUGGACAAAGACUGACGCUCAGGUGCGAAAGCGUGGGGAGCAAACAGGAUUAGAUACCCUGGUAGUCCACGCCGUAAACGAUGUCUACUUGGAGGUUGUGCCCUUGAGGCGUGGCUUCCGGAGCUAACGCGUUAAGUAGACCGCCUGGGGAGUACGGCCGCAAGGUUAAAACUCAAAUGAAUUGACGGGGGCCCGCACAAGCGGUGGAGCAUGUGGUUUAAUUCGAUGCAACGCGAAGAACCUUACCUGGUCUUGACAUCCACAGAAGAAUCCAGAGAUGGAUUUGUGCCUUCGGGAACUGUGAGACAGGUGCUGCAUGGCUGUCGUCAGCUCGUGUUGUGAAAUGUUGGGUUAAGUCCCGCAACGAGCGCAACCCUUAUCCUUUGUUGCCAGCGGUCCGGCCGGGAACUCAAAGGAGACUGCCAGUGAUAAACUGGAGGAAGGUGGGGAUGACGUCAAGUCAUCAUGGCCCUUACGACCAGGGCUACACACGUGCUACAAUGGCGCAUACAAAGAGAAGCGACCUCGCGAGAGCAAGCGGACCUCAUAAAGUGCGUCGUAGUCCGGAUUGGAGUCUGCAACUCGACUCCAUGAAGUCGGAAUCGCUAGUAAUCGUGGAUCAGAAUGCCACGGUGAAUACGUUCCCGGGCCUUGUACACACCGCCCGUCACACCAUGGGAGUGGGUUGCAAAAGAAGUAGGUAGCUUAACCUUCGGGAGGGCGCUUACCACUUUGUGAUUCAUGACUGGGGUGAAGUCGUAACAAGGUAACCGUAGGGGAACCUGCGGUUGGAUCACCUCCUUACCUUAAAGAAGC